CUUAUAAUUCUAGUUGGUGGCAGCAAGUAUGACUAUUAAAUAAAGUCAAACAAUGACUAGCUAAUUUAUGAAGCUAGGUGGCAUAUCUAGGAGGAUCCUUCAAAAAGUAAUCCUUGUGGACUGGGACCCACAGCCCACUAUGGUAAAGAAAACUCCAUUUAUCAUUAAGUGAUUCACGUUUUGUAAAGUUAAAGGAGGGGCAGCAAUAACAAUGAUAUAUGGUUAAAUGGAGUAUUUCCAUUUAUGGGGAAAGAAUUGAUGCAAAUUCCAAAGUACACCAGCAGCAAUUGACGUCCCUGCUCCUUCUUUUUAUGGAAACCACUUUCUUUUCUUUCUAUUUUUAGGAAAACAAAGGGGUACUGCCCGUGGAUAUAUAGAGGUAUUUAUAUAUAUACAGAUUUCAACACACCUCAAAUGGGGAGGACCUCUUUAUUGACUUAUGGGCAAAAACGUACUAGUACAUUAACUGUACAUUCAAUUCUUGGAAGAUUAAGCAAGCAACAAUGUGAUUUAUGUGUGGUAGACCAGCAACAUUAAUUAUAAUUUUGGCAGCAACAUGAUUUAUUCGGAACAGCAGCUACGUUAUACGAUUUGGUUACGGGUUUCGAUUACUACUUUAAUCUCGUUGUUUCGUUAUUGAAUUCGGACUUUCUUCAAAGUGAAGUAACGUGAAAGAAGAGUAUUUCUUGGCAUAUAAGGCUAAAGGGGCGACGAAGCAAGCUUGGUUACGGUUGGUCUACGACAGGUACAGAUGCUCACGUUGGUAACCCGCCAGCUUAGGAGUCCUAUUCAGCUAUCUUGGAGAGCUCCCUUGUUCCGGAGCCCAGAUUUUGAUUGAGGAGUCCGGGAUCUGAUUUGUGGUUAGCUUGGAGCGGAUAAGUCCCAUAUUGUUUUACAGGUAAAAGUAUUCAGCUAGGAUGGUUGGCUAUCAGCUGGGAAUGGCAAACUCCAUUUUCUUCCUGGAGCAGUGCCGAGUCAUUAUGAUUAUCAUAUAUGUGUACGGGUAUGUCCGGGCCCUGUCCCGACUCAUAUGAUCCAGGUGUUUACUCUUAGAGACUUUGCAGACAGUGUCCUGUGGUUUGUAUAUUGAGAUGUCAUGUGUUGGGUAAAGCGACCACGUAGGCCGAUAUGUCAGUUUGACUUGCUCGAUUUUUGAUUAAUUGAGUAUCGUUCGCAAAUUUCUAUGGUUUGACGGAAAGUAAUUUAUUAUAUUUCUGAAAUUUUUCUAUAUGUCCAGUUUCAUUAUGUGAAUGCUAGAGGGUUCGCUUAGCUCUAAGUAAGAGCUGGGUGCCCAUCAUGCCCUAUCGGAAUUGGGGUGUGACAAUGAUAAUGAUGACGAUAAUGAUAGUGAUGAUAAUAGUAAAGAUGCUUAUGAGCUAUUAUGUAUAUGUAUCUGUGUAUGACUAUUAUGGGGCCCUGAGCUUAUAAGGCUGGGUAGAAUAUGUAUAUAUUUAUGUAAUGUGUGCACACCUCUGCAGUUGGUACGGAUAACCCUGAAGCCUUGGUAGGGCCAGGUAUGUGUAACCUUGAGCCUUGGUUGGCCAAGUAUGUAUGAUAAACCGAGCCUAGCCAUGGUCGGGUACGUGAAACACCGAACCUUCUUGGUCGGGCAUGCUAUGUAAAUGCUAUGUAUAUGCUAUGGUUAUGUAUAUGAUAUAGAUAUGAGUAUGAAUACGGAUAUGAUACGAAUAUGAAUAAGAAUAUGUAUAUGGUAUGAAUGUGAAUAAAGGUAUGUAUAUGGAUACGAGUACGGAUACGAAAUGUAAAUGAGUACGGAUAUGAAAACGGAUACGAAUUCGGAUGUAUGUACACAACCUCGCAUUAGAAAUGGAAGGUCUCUAUGAAAAGCAAGUAAGUGCUUAUGACGAUGAUAUUACUA
Lycium barbarum (goji berry) is the source of this 1879-nucleotide long non-coding RNA. RefSeq lists it as uncharacterized. The record is from RefSeq and is a predicted model, not a curated record. Lineage: Eukaryota; Viridiplantae; Streptophyta; Magnoliopsida; Solanales; Solanaceae. The transcript has 5 exons.